Molecule: ribosomal RNA, 253 nt
Filed under: uncultured bacterium
Lineage: Bacteria
Description: partial 16S ribosomal RNA
Rfam family: Bacterial small subunit ribosomal RNA
Source: RNAcentral
UACGAAGGGGGCUAGCGUUGCUCGGAAUCACUGGGCGUAAAGCGUACGUAGGCGGGUUGUUAAGUCAGGGGUGAAAUCCUGGAGCUCAACUCCAGAACUGCCUUUGAUACUGGCGAUCUCGAGUCCGGGAGAGGUGAGUGGAACUGCGAGUGUAGAGGUGAAAUUCGUAGAUAUUCGCAAGAACACCAGUGGCGAAGGCGGCUCACUGGCCCGAUACUGACGCUGAGGUGCGAAAGCGUGGGGAGCAAACAGG